AUUGAACGCUGGCGGCAGGCCUAACACAUGCAAGUCGAACGGUAACAGGAAGAAGCUUGCUUCUUUGCUGACGAGUGGCGGACGGGUGAGUAAUGUCUGGGAAACUGCCUGAUGGAGGGGGAUAACUACUGGAAACGGUAGCUAAUACCGCAUAACGUCGCAAGACCAAGGAGGGGGACCUUCGGGCCUCUUGCCAUCGGAUGUGCCCAGAUGGGAUUAGCUAGUAGGUGGGGUAACGGCUCACCUAGGCGACGAUCCCUAGCUGGUCUGAGAGGAUGAACAGCCACACUGGAACUGAGACACGGUCCAGACUCCUACGGGAGGCAGCAGUGGGGAAUAUUGGACAAUGGGCGCAAGCCUGAUGCAGCCAUGCCGCGUGUAUGAAGAAGGCCUUCGGGUUGUAAAGUACUUUCAGCGGGGAGGAAGGGAGGAAAGUUAAUACCUUUGCUCAUUGACGUUACCCGCAGAAGAAGCACCGGCUAACUCCGUG
This 490-nucleotide ribosomal RNA is filed under the name uncultured bacterium. Its description in RNAcentral is "partial 16S ribosomal RNA". It matches the Rfam family "Bacterial small subunit ribosomal RNA", at positions 30 to 507 of the family's 1533-position model. The record is from RNAcentral.